GAUGAACGCUGGCGGCGUGCCUAAUACAUGCAAGUCGAGCGAACAGACGAGGAGCUUGCGCCUCUAACGUUAGCGACGGACGGGUGACUAACACGCGAAUUACCUACCUCUUAGACUGGGAUAACUUCGGCAAACCGGAGCUCCUACUACUUCAUAUAUUCAACCUCAUGGUUCAAUAGUGAAAGACGCGUUUGCUGUUACUCAUACAUGCAUCCGCGCCGCAUUCGCUAUUAGGUAAGGUAACGGCUUUCCAAGGCAACGAUGCGUAGCCGACCUGAGAGGGUGAUCGGCGAGAUUAGAGCUAGGACACGGACCAGACUCCUGCGAGAGGCAGCAGUAGGGAAUGUUAGGCAAUGGGGGAAAGCCUGACGGAGCAACGGCACGUGAGUGGUGAAGAACUUCGGAUCGUGAAGAUGUGUUAUUAGGUAAAAACAGAUGUGUAAGUAAAUAAGCACAUCUUGACGGUACCUGAACAAAAAGCCACGGCUAACUACGUG
This 497-nucleotide ribosomal RNA is filed under the name uncultured bacterium. RNAcentral's name for it is "partial 16S ribosomal RNA". It matches the Rfam family "Bacterial small subunit ribosomal RNA", at positions 28 to 507 of the family's 1533-position model. The record is from RNAcentral.